RNAcentral lists this ribosomal RNA (406 nucleotides) under uncultured bacterium. RNAcentral describes it as "partial 16S ribosomal RNA". It matches the Rfam family "Bacterial small subunit ribosomal RNA", at positions 30 to 526 of the family's 1533-position model. The record is from RNAcentral.
AUUGACCGCUGGCGGCAGGCCUAACACAUGCAAGUCGAACGAGUGGCGGACGGGUGAGUAAUGUCUGGGAAACUGCCUGAUGGAGGGGGAUAACUACUGGAAACGGUAGCUCAUACCGCAUACCAUCAGAUGUGCCCAGAUGGGCUUAGCUUGUUGGUGGGGUAACGGCUCCCCAAGGCGACGAUCCCUAGCUGGUCUGAGAGGCUGACCAGCCACACUGGAACUGAGACACGGUCCAGACGCCUACGGGCGGCAGCAGUGGGGAAUAUUGCACAAGGGGCGCAAGCCUGAUGCAGCCAUGCCGCGUGGAUGAAGAAGGCCUUCGGGUUGGAAAGUACUUUCAGCGGGGAGGCGUUACCCGCAGAAGAAGCACCGGAUAACUCAGUGCCAGCAGCCGCGGUAAUUC